AAGGUGUGUCGUGAGGCAUGCUGGAGGUAUCAGAAGUGCGAAUGCUGACAUAAGUAACGAUAAAGCGGGUGAAAAGCCCGCUCGCCGGAAGACCAAGGGUUCCUGUCCAACGUUAAUCGGGGCAGGGUGAGUCGACCCCUAAGGCGAGGCCGAAAGGCGUAGUCGAUGGGAAACGGGUUAAUAUUCCCGUACUUGGUGUUACUGCGAAGGGGGGACGGAGAAGGCUAUGUUGGCCGGGCGACGGUUGUCCCGGUUUAAGCGUGUAGGUGUGUGUUCCAGGUAAAUCCGGUUCACUUUAACACUGAGGCGUGAUGACGAGGCACUACGGUGCUGAAGCAACAAAUGCCCUGCUUCCAGGAAAAGCCUCUAAGCAUCAGGUAACAUCAAAUCGUACCCCAAACCGACACAGGUGGUCAGGUAGAGAAUACCAAGGCGCUUGAGAGAACUCGGGUGAAGGAACUAGGCAAAAUGGUGCCGUAACUUCGGGAGAAGGCACGCUGACACGUAGGUGAAGUGAUUUACUCACGGAGCUGAAGUCAGUCGAAGAUACCAGCUGGCUGCAACUGUUUAUUAAAAACACAGCACUGUGCAAACACGAAAGUGGACGUAUACGGUGUGACGCCUGCCCGGUGCCGGAAGGUUAAUUGAUGGGGUCAGCGCAAGCGAAGCUCCUGAUCGAAGCCCCGGUAAACGGCGGCCGUAACUAUAACGGUCCUAAGGUAGCGAAAUUCCUUGUCGGGUAAGUUCCGACCUGCACGAAUGGCGUAAUGAUGGCCAGGCUGUCUCCACCCGAGACUCAGUGAAAUUGAACUCGCUGUGAAGAUGCAGUGUACCCGCGGCAAGACGGAAAGACCCCGUGAACCUUUACUAUAGCUUGACACUGAACAUUGAGCCUUGAUGUGUAGGAUAGGUGGGAGGCUUUGAAGUGUGGACGCCAGUCUGCAUGGAGCCGACCUUGAAAUACCACCCUUUAAUGUUUGAUGUUCUAACGUGGACCCGUGAUCCGGGUUGCGGACAGUGUCUGGUGGGUAGUUUGACUGGGGCGGUCUCCUCCUAAAGAGUAACGGAGGAGCACGAAGGUUGGCUAAUCCUGGUCGGACAUCAGGAGGUUAGUGCAAUGGCAUAAGCCAGCUUGACUGCGAGCGUGACGGCGCGAGCAGGUGCGAAAGCAGGUCAUAGUGAUCCGGUGGUUCUGAAUGGAAGGGCCAUCGCUCAACGGAUAAAAGGUACUCCGGGGAUAACAGGCUGAUACCGCCCAAGAGUUCAUAUCGACGGCGGUGUUUGGCACCUCGAUGUCGGCUCAUCACAUCCUGGGGCUGAAGUAGGUCCCAAGGGUAUGGCUGUUCGCCAUUUAAAGUGGUACGCGAGCUGGGUUUAGAACGUCGUGAGACAGUUCGGUCCCUAUCUGCCGUGGGCGCUGGAGAACUGAGGGGGGCUGCUCCUAGUACGAGAGGACCGGAGUGGACGCAUCACUGGUGUUCGGGUUGUCAUGCCAAUGGCACUGCCCGGUAGCUAAAUGCGGAAGAGAUAAGUGCUGAAAGCAUCUAAGCACGAAACUUGCCCCGAGAUGAGUUCU
This 1576-nucleotide ribosomal RNA is filed under the name Salmonella enterica subsp. enterica serovar 4,5,12:b:-. RNAcentral describes it as "bacterial LSU rRNA". It matches the Rfam family "Bacterial large subunit ribosomal RNA", at positions 1253 to 2812 of the family's 2925-position model. The record is from RNAcentral. Lineage: Bacteria; Pseudomonadati; Pseudomonadota; Gammaproteobacteria; Enterobacterales; Enterobacteriaceae.